UACGUAGGGUGCGAGCGUUAAUCGGAAUUACUGGGCGUAAAGCGCACGUAGGCGGAUUGUUAAGUCAGGGGUGAAAUCCUGGAGCUCAACUCCAGAACUGCCUUUGAUACUGGCGAUCUCGAGUCCGGGAGAGGUGAGUGGAACUGCGAGUGUAGAGGUGAAAUUCGUAGAUAUUCGCAAGAACACCAGUGGCGAAGGCGGCUCACUGGCCCGGUACUGACGCUGAGGUGCGAAAGCGUGGGGAGCAAACAGG
This 253-nucleotide ribosomal RNA is filed under the name uncultured bacterium. RNAcentral's name for it is "partial 16S ribosomal RNA". It matches the Rfam family "Bacterial small subunit ribosomal RNA", at positions 524 to 776 of the family's 1533-position model. The record is from RNAcentral.